This 350-nucleotide RNase P RNA is filed under the name Polysiphonia sertularioides. Its description in RNAcentral is "rnpB". The stretch from base 2 to 177 matches the Rfam family "Bacterial RNase P class A", at positions 44 to 222 of the family's 367-position model. From Rfam's summary of the family: Ribonuclease P (RNase P) is a ubiquitous endoribonuclease, found in archaea, bacteria and eukarya as well as chloroplasts and mitochondria. Its best characterised activity is the generation of mature 5'-ends of tRNAs by cleaving the 5'-leader elements of precursor-tRNAs. The record is from RNAcentral. Lineage: Eukaryota; Rhodophyta; Florideophyceae; Ceramiales; Rhodomelaceae.
GAGGAAAGUCCGGGCUCUAUUUAUAAAUAUAUAGUUGUAUAAAUUACAGUAUAGGAAACUAUGAGGAUCGUGCCACAGAAAUAUACCGCCUUUUUAUUUAGGUAAGGGUGCAAUGGUUUGGUAAAAGCAAACCAGAAACAUUGUUAAAAUGUUUGCUAGGUAAACCCCAUUUUAGAGCAAAGUGUUGAGCCUAUUUCUCACAGAGAUUUUUUAUAAGAUUGUGAUAUAAGCUUAGUUAGGUUAAAUUCUUUAUACUGCAUAAAGUAUCUUACUACUGUUGAUGAAUGAUUACCCUUUUUAUGCUUGCAAUUAUUUUGUAAAGAACUUAAAAAGAACUAAACCCGGCUUAU